UCUUCAAUUUUGCUACAUCAGUCAUUCUGUUUUUGGGCUGUAUUCUUAUUUAUUAUACUUUUAGUUUCCGACAAAUUUUUUUAUUAGAUUUAUUGCAGGAGGAAUAUUGAUGUAGCUUUCAUUGCUUCUUGAUCAAUCACGAAUCUAUUUGAUAUGUGAUGACCAAGUGGCGAUAGUAAUUUUGUUUGUGUUAGAGGCCGGUUCAGCCAGAGACCAUUGGUGAAGCAUCUUCAUCUUGAAGGACUGGACCAUUAGGAAUGAGUGGGAAUGGUAACAGUUUAAUGGCUUUUUCUAAAGUUCGGUCCAAGUCCUGAUUGAUUGACGACUAUAGGUAGCUAAAUCAUGACUUCAUGAGAGUGUCUGGUCAGAAAAGAGUACCCAUGCAUAUAUAUUGCUCCAUCUUGGAAGCUAUACAGAUGAUAUCUUCUAUUGUUUGAAUGAUUCCUCUGAGAAAAAAAAAAAACUUUGAUUAUCUGACGAAUUGUCAAUGUUUGAUUCACUUCUUUAGUUCUUUAUCCUACAGUUCUUUGUAGGUAACUAGGUAUGUAGCUUCUCUCAAUAUACGCUAAAUUCUGCAACAAUCA
Erigeron canadensis is the source of this 584-nucleotide long non-coding RNA. RefSeq lists it as uncharacterized. The transcript has 2 exons. Lineage: Eukaryota; Viridiplantae; Streptophyta; Magnoliopsida; Asterales; Asteraceae. The record is from RefSeq and is a predicted model, not a curated record.